GUGGCGCUUGCUUGGCAGUAUUUAAAUGUUGAUUUUCUUCUGUCUUCCUCCGGAGUGCAUUUCUGCGCUUGUCCACGAGAGGUCCCCACAGGCUCCAAACUGGGUUUCAUCGGACUCGGCGCCUCAACUAGCGCGGAGUGCGUAGGCCCCGCCGGAGCGCAGGGCGUGAUGACGUCACGAGGAGCCGGGACGGUUUCUGCCCAAACUCUCCCUGUUUGCCCCCAGCUGAGUCGCCUUCCAGACCCACGAGGCUCACGUCCAACGGCUGUCCAGUGCGUCCCGCGCGAGGGAAGAAAAGCUGCGAACGAGGGAGGUGGAGCUAGGCUGUUGGGCUUAAAAUAAAACCGAAUCAUGGGAUCCAGCCUUCCUUAUCAGGGCUCGGGAAUGGAUAACAGGACUUUUGAGUCAUCACUGGAAUAAACUCAUUAAAGCCUCUUCAUAACGCCAUAUCUGUAACUGAAGGUGGGCGAGAAUGGCAAAGGAAGAAAACAGGGCUCCAAGGAAGUAGAGGAUGGCGCCCAUCACCUCCUUGGAUACCAGGACAUCUUUUGGGAGCGCCUCCAGCGUCACUUCAUGUCCUUUGUCUAGAGCCCCUUCAAGCUGUGAGGAAAGGAAAAACAGAUGUGGAGGAGGUGGGCUUGCCCCUCUUGCUUUUUCCUUGGAGGAGGGGACGACGGGGUUUGGACGCUGAUUCACUCUGCCUGUAGCUUGGUAUGAGAGCCAGCUUCACGGGCAUGCAACCUGUCAAGUUGCACAUGGCCCCAUGCUUGGUUUAAUGUUGAAUAAUUCUUAGUACUUUUUAAACAAGGAGCCCUGUAUUUUCAUCUGGCGCUGGGGACCCGUAGAUUAUGUUGCAGGUCCUGCUUGUUACCAUUGGGCCUAACCCAUUAGUCCCAUCAGGGACCGACCCCAUGCCCACUCCUGACCCCACCACGGAGAGUCCCCGGCAGGUAGCCAGUACGAGAUUGAGUUUCCUGGAAAUCUCCCGCAGUCAUUGGAGGACUGAGUCCCCGGCCGCACCCCUCGGACUCCAUGAACCACUAGAUCUAGGGCCUGACCCACUUGGCAGAGAGAUGAGGAGUGAUCAGCUAGCUACUCCUGCAGUUAGAGAAAAGGGGCUCCCUGGCAGAGGGGGAGCAGGUCUCCCGGUUCGGAGUGGGGACUCCCUUAGGGAAGGGGUCCAGUCUCUCCCUGAGCCUAAAGAAGACUCCUUGGAGCGGACUGCCGCGCGGGCUGAGAUCUCAUUGGACUAGGAGGUUGGCCACGCCCCAUCCCAGCCACACCCGCCCCCGCCCCGCCCCCAGCCGUCUUAAGCCCCGCCCCUAGCUCCCUUAGUCCUGUCAUCACCACCCGCGCCUCGCCUCCGGCGCUCACUGUCUGUCCCCCAUCACUUUAGCCCCGCCCCCGACCUCCCCAAGUUCACCCCAUGCAAUCCCGGUCUGUCCCGCAGCCGCCUAAGUCCCUCCUCUGGCCUCCACAGCCCUAAGGUCAACCGGGCAGCCUUCUCCUGAACUCUCAUCACUCCGCCAGGGCCCCGCCCUCACUGUGUCCUCCAGCCCCGCAGCGUCCAGUCCUUUCCUUAGAGGCCCGCCAUUCCCAGGUCAGGCCCUUCAGCGCCAGCAGCUCCUCCACCUCGGCCUGCAGCGCCAGACACCUCGUGUGUCUGGGGGGUGGGGGCCGGCUCAGGCCUGGACUGAGCUUUGAGUACAGGACAGUGGUGACCAGGACCCUCCUCACUCCACCGGCUCGACGUGACUGCACCCAGUGAGCCCCGCACAGAGGCCCCUUCUGGGGCUUGGGGUCCUGUGCCCUCCCUCACGUACCCCUCCCCAGGGGAUCGAGUCUGCAACCCAGGCGUAUGCCCUUGACCAGAAUGGAACCCAGGACCCUUCAGUCCGCAAGCCGACGCCCUAUCUGCUGCACCAAACUGGCCAAGGCUGCAAUGCUUUUUGUAAAUACUUUUAAUAACGUCCCUGCCUGCUGUCAGGUUGUGGUUUCUCACUGCUGUUAUUCUGACUGUCUGUAAUCUACUUUUUGCUGCUUCAGAUGUAUUGCUUCUAACUUGCUGUAGGCAGGAAACCAUAGUUCCAAAGUUAUUAGAACUCUAUGUAAAGUAAGAUUUUAAAAAAUUGGUAAAAUAAAUAGGUUCUGAGUAAGUGUUCCUGUGAACAAAGUACAUGGGCCUUAGUCGGUGUUUGCUUCAGACGACCUUUCUGGGCUCACGUGGCCCCUGUGCACAGCUUGUCACCCUGGCUGUCAUCCCUGAUACACUCACCUGCAGGUCCCCAAGGAUGGGCACCAUGACUUUCUCAUCUUUGUGUCUGCAGUGCCUGCCACAUAGUAGGAACUCAAUAAAUGUUCGAAGGAAUGAGUGGACCUGUGGCGGCAUCUCUUUUGGCAGCUUGGACGCCUUGCUCUGCUUUGUUUGCUGCAGUCCUGACUGGGGGCAACGCUCCUCCUAGGCAGGAGAGAGUCCCAGGGAGACGAAGUAAACCCGUUUCUAGUUGGAACUCCCCUUAGUCUAAUGGGGAGGCACCGUCCCUCCCCGUGGGAUAAGCUGCCCGAGUUGCUGCCGGUUUUGAUGCUGACAUCCCUCACUCUGUAGGGGAG
Myotis brandtii (Brandt's bat) is the source of this 2610-nucleotide long non-coding RNA. RefSeq lists it as uncharacterized. The transcript is spliced from 4 exons. The record is from RefSeq and is a predicted model, not a curated record. NCBI's taxonomy places the organism in Eukaryota, Metazoa, Chordata, Mammalia, Chiroptera, Vespertilionidae.